UCCGUAGGCGGGCAGCUCAGUCAGUGGUGAAAGUUUGCAGCUCAACUGUAAAAUUGCCAUUGAUACUGGUUGUCUUGAAUUAAUGUGAAGUGGUUAGAAUAUGUAGUGUAGCGGUGAAAUGCAUAGAUAUUACAUGGAAUACCAAUUGCGAAGGCAGAUCACUAACAUUAUAUUGACGCUGAGGGACGAAAGCGUGGGGAGCGAACAGGAUUAGAUACCCUGGUAGUCC
RNAcentral lists this ribosomal RNA (229 nucleotides) under uncultured bacterium. RNAcentral's name for it is "partial 16S ribosomal RNA". It matches the Rfam family "Bacterial small subunit ribosomal RNA", at positions 568 to 796 of the family's 1533-position model. The record is from RNAcentral.